AAGUAGGGUGCGAGCGUUAAUCGGAAUUACUGGGCGUAAAGCGUGCGAAGGCGGUUAUAUAAGUCAGAAGGGAAAUCCACGGGUCAAACCUGGGAAAAGAAUUUGAGAAUGUAUGACUAGAGUGGUGCAGAGGGGGGUGGAAUUCCACGUGUAGCAGUGAAAUGCGUAGAUAUGUGGAGGAACACCGAUGGCGAAGGCAGCCCCCUGGGCCAAUACUGACGCUCAUGCACGAAAGCGUGGGGAGCAAACAG
RNAcentral lists this ribosomal RNA (251 nucleotides) under uncultured prokaryote. RNAcentral's name for it is "partial 16S rRNA". It matches the Rfam family "Bacterial small subunit ribosomal RNA", at positions 525 to 775 of the family's 1533-position model. The record is from RNAcentral.